UAAUGUCCUGGGUGCAUUGUAGC
RNAcentral lists this non-coding RNA (23 nucleotides) under Cricetulus griseus (Chinese hamster). Lineage: Eukaryota; Metazoa; Chordata; Mammalia; Rodentia; Cricetidae. The record is from RNAcentral.